CCCUAAGUGAGGGCAGUUGCUGUCAGCAGGGCAGCAUCUAUAUGUGUAACAAUUUGCACUUCUGUUUGCUGGCUCCAAAAGGGGAAGGGAAUGUCCUCAUCCCAAGAGCAGGUCCCGGGGCAGCCUGCUGGGUGCAUUGACCAGGCAGCUUGUAAUGCAACGUAUACGGAGUAACAUUGGAUGCAUAUAUUUAACAAAGCCAUCACCUGAUGCAAAACUGAAUGCCUCGGAGAGAUCCAGGACCCUGGAGAUGAAAGAACCAAUAUUGCUGCGAAGGUUAUUCCUAGCACAGGAGCAGUUAAGAAACUGUCUGCACACAAAUGACGAAUUAUUGUAAUCUGAACAAAGAAUGGGGCAGUAAAGAUCACAUCAGUUGGAAACUUUGAAAGGACUAGAGGCA
Molecule: long non-coding RNA, 400 nt
Filed under: Numida meleagris (helmeted guineafowl)
Lineage: Eukaryota; Metazoa; Chordata; Aves; Galliformes; Numididae
Description: lncRNA (ENSNMEG00000015395.1)
Source: RNAcentral